RNAcentral lists this ribosomal RNA (787 nucleotides) under uncultured bacterium. RNAcentral describes it as "bacterial SSU rRNA". It matches the Rfam family "Bacterial small subunit ribosomal RNA", at positions 8 to 796 of the family's 1533-position model. The record is from RNAcentral.
AGAGUUUGAUCAUGGCUCAGGAUGAACGCUAGCGGCAGGCUUAACACAUGCAAGUCGAGGGGUAUAAGUCUUCGGAUUUAGAGACCGGCGCACGGGUGCGUAACGCGUAUGCAAUCUACCUUUUACAGAGGGAUAGCCCAGAGAAAUUUGGAUUAAUACCUCAUAGUAUUAUGAAAUGGCAUCAUUUUAUAAUUAAAGUCACAACGGUAAAAGAUGAGCAUGCGUCCCAUUAGCUUGUUGGUAAGGUAACGGCUUACCAAGGCUACGAUGGGUAGGGGUCCUGAGAGGGAGAUCCCCCACACUGGUACUGAGACACGGACCAGACUCCUACGGGAGGCAGCAGUGAGGAAUAUUGGUCAAUGGACGCAAGUCUGAACCAGCCAUGCCGCGUGCAGGAUGACGGUCCUAUGGAUUGUAAACUGCUUUUGCACAGGAAGAAACAACGCUACGUGUAGCGUCUUGACGGUACUGUGAGAAUAAGGAUCGGCUAACUCCGUGCCAGCAGCCGCGGUAAUACGGAGGAUCCAAGCGUUAUCCGGAAUCAUUGGGUUUAAAGGGUCCGUAGGCGGUUUAGUAAGUCAGUGGUGAAAGCCCAUCGCUCAACGGUGGAACGGCCAUUGAUACUGCUAAACUUGAAUUAUUAGGAAGUAACUAGAAUAUGUAGUGUAGCGGUGAAAUGCUUAGAGAUUACAUGGAAUACCAAUUGCGAAGGCAGGUUACUACUAAUGGAUUGACGCUGAUGGACGAAAGCGUGGGUAGCGAACAGGAUUAGAUACCCUAGUAGUCC